Molecule: ribosomal RNA, 460 nt
Filed under: uncultured bacterium
Lineage: Bacteria
Description: partial 16S ribosomal RNA
Rfam family: Bacterial small subunit ribosomal RNA
Source: RNAcentral
CCUACGGGAGGCAGCAGUGAGGAAUAUUGGUCAAUGGACGAGAGUCUGAACCAGCCAAGUAGCGUGAAGGAUGACUGUCCUAUGGGUUGUAAACUUCUUUUAUAAAGGAAUAAAACGAGGCACGUGUGCCUUUUUGCAUGUACUUUAUGAAUAAGGAUCGGCUAACUCCGUGCCAGCAGCCGCGGUAAUACGGAGGAUCCGAGCGUUAUCCGGAUUUAUUGGGUUUAAAGGGAGCGUAGAUGGGUUGUUAAGUCAGUUGUGAAAGUUUGCGGCUCAACCGUAAAAUUGCAAUUGAUACUGGCAGUCUUGAGUACAGUUGAGGUAAGCGGAAUUCGUGGUGUAGCGGUGAAAUGCUUAGAUAUCACGAAGAACUCCGAUUGCGAAGGCAGCUUACUAACCUGUGACUGACAUUGAUGCUCGAAAGUGUGGGUAUCGAACAGGAUUAGAUACCCUAGUAGUC